RNAcentral lists this ribosomal RNA (301 nucleotides) under uncultured bacterium. Its description in RNAcentral is "partial 16S ribosomal RNA". It matches the Rfam family "Bacterial small subunit ribosomal RNA", at positions 509 to 807 of the family's 1533-position model. The record is from RNAcentral.
CAGCAGCCGCGGGAAUACAGAGGGUGCGAGCGUUAAUCGGAUUUACUGGGCGUAAAGCGUGCGUAGGCGGCUAAUUGAGUCGGAUGUGAAAUCCCCGAGCUUAACUUGGGAAUUGCAUUCGAUACUGGUUAGCUAGAGUGUGGGAGAGGAUGGUAGAAUUCCAGGUGUAGCGGUGAAAUGCGUAGAGAUCUGGAGGAAUACCGAUGGCGAAGGCAGCCAUCUGGCCUAACACUGACGCUGAGGUACGAAAGCAUGGGGAGCAAACAGGAUUAGAUACCCGCGUAGUCCCUGUCUCUUAUAC